AUUUCAUUGCUGAGUGAUAUUGCUUUGUUUGUGAAUUACAGUGCCCCUGAGCUCCUUUCUUCAACUCGCUUUCUUGUGAGCUGGCCGCAACACCGCAAGAUUGCUUCAGGCCCUAAUCUGGUUCCGGUACGGCACGCUGAGCCUUUGGUUAAUUCCUCUUCCUGUUAGAAUCAUCGUACCUGAAUCCACUCAUUAUGCUGCUACGGGCC
Molecule: long non-coding RNA, 209 nt
Organism: Orcinus orca (killer whale)
Lineage: Eukaryota; Metazoa; Chordata; Mammalia; Artiodactyla; Delphinidae
Exons: 3
Source: RefSeq, a predicted model, not a curated record